This 241-nucleotide ribosomal RNA is filed under the name uncultured bacterium. RNAcentral describes it as "partial 16S ribosomal RNA". It matches the Rfam family "Bacterial small subunit ribosomal RNA", at positions 118 to 347 of the family's 1533-position model. The record is from RNAcentral.
UAGAUAAUCUGCCUGAUGAUCCGGGAUAACACUUCGAAAGGGGUGCUAAUACCGGAUAAGCCCACGGGGUCUUUGGACUCUGCGGGAAAAGGGGGGACCUUCGGGCCUUUUGUCAUCAGAUGAGUCUGCGUACCAUUAGCUAGUUGGUAGGGUAAUGGCCUGCCAAGGCUACGAUGGUUAGCUGGUUUGAGAGAAUGAUCAGCCACACUGGAACUGAGACACGGUCCAGAUCCGUAACGGG